AAUAAAUCACAUACCCCCCAAAAAUAGCUACGCGGAUCACGUUUAUACCUCUUUAUUGUUGAUUUGUGUAGCGUAGUUGUAAUCAUCUUGUUACAUUUUUGCGGUCGGGUUGAUAGCGACUCAAGCAGCUAAAAUUUAAUAUUUAUAAGGACGUUAUGAUGAACUAAAAAUUAAAACUAUCAUCAUUUCAAAAUCUUAAAAACUAAAACAUCUCAAUGGAGCCGCUGCGAGUGGGUCGUUCACAUGAUUGGAUAAACUAAUACCAUAAAAGCUCACAGUAAAAUUAGAGUUUAAUUGGUAAGCACAGAAAGAAUACUAAUAGCUUAAAUUAAAUAACAAUAUUCCAAGGACGGAUUUAGUAGUAUGCGUCGAAUUCUAAAUGAUCAAAACAGGGUGUUAAACAGCCAACUUUCCUUUCUCAUGUCAUCUAUUUGUAAAAAACAAGAUAUAGCAAAAAGGAUAGAAAGGCUUCUUCCAAAAAUUCAUGGCCCCA
This 493-nucleotide unclassified non-coding RNA is filed under the name Moritella viscosa. RNAcentral's name for it is "putative sRNA". The record is from RNAcentral. Lineage: Bacteria; Pseudomonadati; Pseudomonadota; Gammaproteobacteria; Alteromonadales; Moritellaceae.